CUCGGCCGCUUCCAUCUUUCCUUCUUUACAAUAUGCAUGAAUCAAUGUGCUGAAAGUGACGACAUUAGGNNNNNNNNNNNNNNNNNNNNNNNNNNNNNNNNNNNNNNNNNNNNNNNNNNNNNNNNNNNNNNNNNNNNNNNNNNNNNNNNNNNNNNNNNNNNNNNNNNNNNNNNNNNNNNNNNNNNNNNNNNNNNNNNNNNNNNNNNNNNNNNNNNNNNNNNNNNNNNNNNNNNNNNNNNNNNNNNNNNNNNNNNNNNNNNNNNNNNNNNNNNNNNNNNNNNNNNNNNNNNNNNNNNNNNNNNNNNNNNNNNNNNNNNNNNNNNNNNNNNNNNNNNNNNNNNNNNNNNNNNNNNNNNNNNNNNNNNNNNNNNNNNNNNNNNNNNNNNNNNNNNNNNNNNNNNNNNNNNNNNNNNNNNNNNNNNNNNNNNNNNNNNNNNNNNNNNNNNNNNNNNNNNNNNNNNNNNNNNNNNNNNNNNNNNNNNNNNNNNNNNNNNNNNNNNNNNNNNNNNNNNNNNNNNNNNNNNNNNNNNNNNNNNNNNNNNNNNNNNNNNNNNNNNNNNNNNNNNNNNNNNNNNNNNNNNNNNNNNNNNNNNNNNNNNNNNNNNNNNNNNNNNNNNNNNNNNNNGAAAUCCUCUUCCAUGAAUGAGAUCGAUUGCAGAAACAGCAGCUCUUCUGCUCAUCAUCCUUAAUCGACGGUGAGAUUGGAUCUGAAGAAAGGGAUGAAUGGAGUUUGCGAUUUUACUGAAAAUUUUAUGCUGAUUUCUUCUGUACUGAUUCACUACCGAUUUCUUAUAAUGUGCAAAAAGCUGCCUACAGAAUUUUGGGCUUCAACAAAUAAUAUUUGGGUUCGAAAAUGUUUUGGGCUUCAAAAAUAAUGUUUUGUGAAAUUGGUUGAAACUAUAACUUGGCCCGAUCAUGAAUUUUAUGAAAUGUUUCAAAUUAACUUUAAAUUAGGGGCACGACUUUAAGAUCAUAUUUAAAAUAUAAUAAAAUGUAAAAUAAUUUUCAAAAUAAUUUUAAAUCCGCGCGAUACACGGUGAAUCAAUGACAUGUUCAAAUAAAUAAUUAUAAAUAUUUAAAAUAUAAUAAAAUGUAAAAUAUAUUGUAAAAAUAAAAGAAAAGAAACCAUAUUAAUUACUCAAUAAAACCUCAGAUUUAAAAAUGUAAAAUUUCAAUAUUGCAUAAUGUGUAAUAAUAAUCAUAGUUAUUAAAUUAUUUUUAAAUUAUUUGAUAAUAAAAAUUAGUAUUACACAUUAUUAUUAUAGAAUAUUAUACAUCAUAAUGAAUAACUACUUUUAUAUACAAACAUAAAUAAAAAUGCUGAAAAGUUUAAAGAAGAGAGAAAAUAAAAUAUUUUAAAUUUUAAUUUUUAAUAACUUAUUCAUUUUAAAUUUAUUUUUGAUGAUUCUUAUACCAUAUUAAAGAACUUGUUAUGAACUUAAAUUUUAGAAACAUAUUAAAUAUUUUUUCAUAAGGUUAUAUUGGGACAUCUAAAAGAAAAUAUUUAAUGAUAUGUUUGACUAUAUUUAAAUAAGGUUAUUUUAGUAAAAGAAAAUAUUUAAUGCUAAUUUAAUUUAAAAAGUGAACUAUAUAUUGGUACAUCUAAAAGAAGAAUAAGGGACUACAUAUAUAUGUAGGUGGAACAGAGGGAGUAAUAUAGUUUUCCGCUUUUGAUUUGUCUAAGUUUUACUUUUGUAAGUAAAAUGCAUUGUACUUUUGUGUUAAACUAUAUAUUGCUUUUUUACGAAAUUAUAAUUCGACAUGUUCAAGAUAGCUAUAUAUAUCAAUAAAUUAAGAAAACUAGAUAUAGAAUAAUCAAUGAUAAUAGAUGUUCUCAUUUUGAUAAACACAAGUUGUCCCGUUGUGUGAAUGAUUUAGCUCCAAGCGAUCAUUAUUUGUUACUCUCUCUGUCCACGAAAGAACUUCAUAUAUUUUCUUUUUGAACGUUCACAAAAAAACUUCCUGCUUAUUUUUGGACUAUAUACCCCACCACUUAUAAUUACUUACUUUUAACUUUUUGACAACUCUCAAUAUUAAUUAUACUACUCCCUCCGUUCCACGAAUCUUGACACGUUUUCCUUUUUGGGCCGUCCCACGAAUCUUGACACGUUUCCUUUUUGGCAAUAAUUAUUACCUUCUCUCUCCUACUUUAUCUACUUUUAUUACAUUCUCUCUCAUUACUUUANNNNNNNNNNNNNNNNNNNNNNNNNNNNNNNNNNNNNNNNNNNNNNNNNNNNNNNNNNNNNNNNNNNNNNNNNNNNNNNNNNNNNNNNNNNNNNNNNNNNNNNNNNNNNNNNNNNNNNNNNNNNNNNNNNNNNNNNNNNNNNNNNNNNNNNNNNNNNNNNNNNNNNNNNNNNNNNNNNNNNNNNNNNNNNNNNNNNNNNNNNNNNNNNNNNNNNNNNNNNNNNNNNNNNNNNNNNNNNNNNNNNNNNNNNNNNNNNNNNNNNNNNNNNNNNNNNNNNNNNNNNNNNNNNNNNNNNNNNNNNNNNNNNNNNNNNNNNNNNNNNNNNNNNNNNNNNNNNNNNNNNNNNNNNNNNNNNNNNNNNNNNNNNNNNNNNNNNNNNNNNNNNNNNNNNNNNNNNNNNNNNNNNNNNNNNNNNNNNNNNNNNNNNNNNNNNNNNNNNNNNNNNNNNNNNNNNNNNNNNNNNNNNNNNNNNNNNNNNNNNNNNNNNNNNNNNNNNNNNNNNNNNNNNNNNNNNNNNNNNNNNNNNNNNNNNNNNNNNNNNNNNNNNNNNNNNNNNNNNNNNNNNNNNNNNNNNNNNNNNNNNNNNNNNNNNNNNNNNNNNNNNNNNNNNACUUUUAACUUUUUGACAACUCUCAAUAUUAAUUAUACUACUCCCUCCGUUCCACGAAUCUUGACACGUUUUCCUUUUUGGGCCGUCCCACGAAUCUUGACACGUUUCCUUUUUUGGCAAUAAUUAUUACCUUCUCUCUCCUACUUUAUCACUUUUAUUACAUUCUCUCUCAUACUUUAUCAAUUUUAUACUUUAUUAAUUACACACUUAAAACACUAAUCUACAACUCCUUAAUUCUCGUGCCGAACUCAAAUGUGUCAAGACUCGCGGGACGGAGGGAGUACAUUUUUAUCAUUCCCAAUACACUCAACAACUUUUUUUUCUUAAAACUCGUGUCACUCCCUCCUAAGAAGUUCUUUCCUGAACGGAAGGGAGUUUUUUUUUUUUUUUAAUUAUUUAUAGUUUAUUAUUUAAUAUUGUCGAGUUGGGUUAAAUCUGUAUACUUGACUAUUAUGUGUAGGAGUCAUAAUUAUGUAAUUAACCCAUUUUAGUGCAAAGUUCAUGGUAUCUUACUUUGUGUCCCACCUUCAAUUUUUUUUUUCUUUCAUGUUUCUUUCUUCAAUUUGCAUUUUAUAUGUUUUAGUAAAUAGGAAAUUUAUUCCAUCCAAUUCCGGUGUAUACUUAUUUUAAUUUAAUAGUACUCUGCAAAUUAUACAAGGAAAUGUAAAUCACACUAAGAAAUUCGAGUGCAACAUGCAAGAAGUAGUCUGGAAAUCUUCUAUACUAUAAAAACGUUCAGAGAAUCGUUAUCUACAAAAGUGCUCGACAGAAUGACCAAGAGAAUUAGGAAACGACCAUAACACUGCUCAGUGAAUCCGCAUACCAACUAUUCGCGAAAAUGUCUAAAUGAAAAAAAAAAUCAUAUUGCAAAUACGGAGAAGUAGCGCCGUGGAGAAACACCCAUGAAAGAGUGCAAGUAGCGCAAGACUACAAUACCCACAAUUUUAACACAACAAACAUAAUUUCACAAGUGAUCGAAUUCACACUUAUUCCACUCCUAUUAAAUAGUUCAUGCAAGAGACUUCUACUUUUUUUUAACACAACAAACCAUAAUAAAUCUAUUCUUGAAAUUCCCAUUUCUAACAACGAAGAUUAAGCCCAGGAUUAACUCCGAGUUUGGCUUCAAUAGCUCGUAUAUUAAUUAACACGAGAAGUCACGGUCCCCCGGAUUCACGUUGUUGCAUUCAAGGUCUCCAUUAAUGGCACGAAUCGUGGCCCCAAAUCGACGUAAUAGCCGAGUGCACGUUAUCCAUCCAAAACCACAGUGCAGUCUUGAAUGAGAUAACUCACCUCAGACUCGAGAGAAGAAGAAGUAGGGACUCAAUGAGACCAACUGCAGCUCUGUCGGAGCGAGCUGUCAUACGAUAGCCAUAGGCUGACGCAACGUCAUCCAACGUCUCCACUCUCCAGUACUCAUCCGUUGCAAUUGCUCCACCUAAUCACAAAUUCCACAAUGAGUGCUGCUGAGGAUGGAUAUAUUCAUUAACGUAUGUUUGUAACUAACCUUGAGAAUUGGCCUCCCAUGAAGCUCAGCAAAGACAUAGCAUUCCUUGUCAAUUUUGAGCACAAACUUUCUUAACAACCUCUUGCAAUUUCUCAUCUUUCCUUNCAGAUAUUGCAUAGUCUUCUCGAAAUAAAAAUUAAAUAUAAUUCAUAGUAUUAUAAUAAAAAUUUAUUUUUAUUUAAAUACACUUACGUCCACUCUCAUGCGUGACAUGCGCGAAGAACGCUGCAACCUCCCGCUUAAUGUCUGGAAAAUACAAACUAUAUGUAAUUAAUGAAUUUUGCCCUUAUUUAUUCUAUGUUUGACUUGAAAGAGUGCAAGUAGCGCAAGACUACAAUACCCACAAUUUUAACACAAGAAACCAUAUAAUACAUCGAUUCUUGACAUUCCCAUUUCUAACAACCAGGAUUAACUCUGAGUUGGCUGCAAUAGCUCGUAGUAUAGUAAUUAACACGAGAAGUCACGCCGGAUUCGCGUUCUUGAAUUCAAGCAAGGUCUCCAUUAAUGGCACGAAUCGUGGCCCCAAAUCCUUUCCCCGAUGUAAUAGCCGAGUGCACGCUAUCCAUCCAAAACCACAGCGCAGUCUUGAAUGAGAUAACGGCAUCUCUGGCGACAAUUUCAGGGUUGUUCAAUCCAUCACAGCCGAUGGCUUGGCCGGCUGGGCCGUAGUUGUAGUUCCACGAUAUUUGCAACGGGCCUCGGCCGUAGUAGCCCUUGUCGGCCACGCACGGCCACUGCCUGUUGCUUUGGUCGCAAUAGUUUCUAGAUCGGCCUAAAAACUUUUUUUUUUUUUAAUGUAUGAUAUUUGUAGUGAGGUAUAUAUGACAUAAGGAGUGGUUAUUAUAUAUACAAACCAGAAACCUUGUAUUAAAUAAGUCCACUAUGAAUUUACGACGAAAUAUUAUAAAUUACUGUAUGAAAAAUAGAUGGUUUCAAAAAAUUAGAAGUUCAUUCUAGCAAAAUACAUGAAUCAACUCACAAUCAAAAAAUUAAAAAUAAUUCCUAUUUUAUACAAUAUAUAUUUGAAUUUAUUUGAACCACUCCAAUAUAGUGUUUCAAUCUCAGGUUUGCAGCUCCGAGACAGGAAUCAUUUGGGGACAGAAUACUAGCCCUUCACCACAACAUUUUUUUAUUGUAAACGUACAAAAGCAUUUGUAAUAUACCAACAUCGCACAACCCUUGAAUGAUCCAAAUGUUAGACACAAAAGAAAAGCAGAGUAGAUUGAGACCCUCUAUCUGGAUAACUCGAGAGAAGAAGCAGCAGAGACUCAAUGAGACCAACUGCAGCUCUGUCGGAGCGAGCUGUCAUACGACAGCCAUAGGCUGACGCAACGUCCUCCAACGUCUCCACUCUCCAGUACUCAUCCAUUGCAAUUGCUCCACCUAAUCACAAUUUCCACAAUGAGUGCUGCUGAGGAUGGAUAUAUUCAUUAACGUAUGUUUGUAACUAACCUUGAGAAUUGGCCUCCCAUGAAGCUCAGCAAAGACAUAGCAUUCCUUGUCAAUUUUGAGCACAAACUUUCUUAACAACCUCUUGCAAUUUCUCAUCUUUUCCUUCUCGUAUUCUUAGUUCCUGAAGCAAAACAGAUAUGAUCUCCGAGUUAACCUUGAAUCCUCUCCUGCACAUCUCUUCCAAGAAAGGAAUCGCCUCAUGCAUCUUAUUGCUCUUCACCAUAUUCAACACAAUAAUGUUGAACGUAACGCCAUUAGGCGCGCAACCUUUUCUCUCCAUCUCCAGCAUCAACCUCUUCGCCUCCCCUUCACGCCGUUCAUGGUGGAGGGAAUCGAGUAUCGUGUUGUAGAUUACCACAUCUGGAUUUAAGCCCUUGGAACGGAGAUGGUUGAAGAGCCUUAUAGCAUCAUCAAGUCUUCUAACCUUGCACAAGCCGUUGAUCAUAACACCAUGCAUUACGAUAUCAGGAUUCACCCCUUUAGCCUCCAUAACCCGAAAAAACGCAAACGCCUCAUUAAUUCGACUGAUCCUACAGAAGCCAUCUAACAAGAUGUUGUAGGUGUGCAUAUCCGGAUGCAGCUUCUGAGCUUCCAUAUCCUGGAAAAGCUUCCAUCCAUCUAAAAAACUACUUUUGGCGUAUUAGCCCGCAUCAUCGCGCUGUAUGACACGGUGCAGUGCUUGAGACCUACUCGCGGUAUUUCAUCAAAUAAACGCCAUGCUUCAUCAAGGUUUCCCGCCUUGCAGUAUCCCUUAAUCAAGAGAGCAUAGGUGAAUAUAUCGUGCUUGAUUCCCGUCUUUGCCAUUGAAUCGAAGAGCUCUCUGGCUCUAAUCAUCUCGCCCUGCGAGCAAUAUCCAUCUAUCAAUACGUUGCACGUGACAACAUCAGGCGAGAUGCCCUUCUCUACCAUCUCGGACAGCAACUGUAGAGCAUCAUCAACCAUCCCAUGCUUGGACAACUCAUCCAAUAAUAUAUUAUAAGUAUACAAGUUGGGACAAAUAUUAUGUUGCAUCAUAGUUUCCAACAUCUUCUCGGCCGCUUCCUUCUUUCCUUCUUUACAAUAUGCAUGAAUCAAUUUUAAGUAAAUCGGAAAAAUUUUUGCUCAUAUUUCCAACAUUCUCAGCCGCUUCCAUCUUUCCUUCUUUACAAUAGCAUAAUCAAUGUGUGAAAGUGACGACAUUAGGAUAAACAUUUUCUUGCGUCAUAAUUUCCAACAUUCUCUCAGCCGCUUCCAUCUUUCCUUCUUUACAAUAAGCAUCAAUCAAUGUGUUGAAAGUGACGACAUCGGGUGAAACUUUUUGUUGCGCCAUACUUUCCAACAAAUUCCCAGCCUCUUUCAUCCUUCCUUCCUUACAGAAUCCAUCAAUUAGUGCAUUAUAAACCUUAACGUCGGGACUCCACCCACUACUUUCUAAUCUAUGAAGCCAAUCAUGGGCUGCAAUGACCAGUCCAGCUUUGCACAACCCAUCUAUCACGUGCAGAAUCAUAAUAGCAUGAGGUUCACAAAGUUUUAAAUCCAGAACCUUUUCAAACAAAUUCACGGCUUCAGCCUCCUUACCAACUAAGAAAAACCCAUUAAUGAGAGUGGCGAUAGUCGCGGCAUCUGGUUCGUAACCAAUCUUGAAAAAGAAUCCCGUUAUAGAAAAACCAGAGUAUAUAUCUUUCAAGCGACAACAACAGUUAACAGAAAUACUCAUGGUGUAAUCAUUAACCCGGACACCCAUCCUAAGCAUUUCACCAAACAUAUAAAGGGCAAAAGAAUACUGCUCAAUCUUUGCAGUAACACUCAAAAGAUUGUUGUACAUUCGAACAGAAGCCUCCCGCCGCAUACUCUUCAUUUUUCGAAACAAUUCAAUAGCAUCGUCAAGCUUUUUAACACAAUUGAAAUCGAUUCUGGGCUGAUUAGGUUGAAAAGCCUUGGAAGAGAAGAGAGAGAAUACAGGAGAGAGAAUACCCGAUUUCUGCGAGCAUCAUUGAGAAAUCCUCUUCCAUGAAUGAGAUCGAUUGCAGAAACAGCAGCUCUUCUGCUCAUCAUCCUUAAUCGACGGUGAGAUUGGAUCUGAAGAAAGGGAUGAAUGGAGUUUGCGAUUUUACUGCAAAUUUUAUGCUGAUUUUUUUGUAGUGAUUCACUGCCGAUUUCUUAUAAGUUAUAAUGUGCUAAAGGCUUCCUAAGCAUUUUGGGCUUCAAUAAUAACCUUUGGGCUUGAAAAUGUUUUGAGCUUCAAAAAUAAGUUGGCCCAAAGUUACUUUUAAGAUCAUGAUAAAUAUCUUUAGGAGUAUAAAAUAUAUAAAUAAAUUUAUGUUUGUAUAUUUUUAAUUUGAUAUAAAAAUUAUAGUAAUAUAUAAUUUUAAUUGAAGAAGUUAUAAUCAUUCAAAGAUUCUUCAAUUAAUUAAAGGAAUUGUUGUUUUUUCAUUUUCUAUAUUUUCUCUCAACUCACAUCCAUUUUUUAUUAUUAUUAUUUUUGGUUUCUUUUCUAUUUUGAUUUUAUUUCAUUUUUAAGAUUUUUAUUUAUAUUUAUUUUUAUGCUUUUUAAUAUACCUAAUUUUAUAAUUAUGAUAAUUUAAUGAACUAGAGUGUAGCAAAUUACAUUGGUUCACUUUAAAACUCUUUAACCCUAUACAUAAAAUUUCUAAGAUGAAAAUUAGUAUUAAUUCUAAUAUAAAUUUGUAAGAAUGAACAAUUUGUAUGCGAAUCUCAACCACUCGUCCAUCAACUCAAGAAAUUGAAGAAAAUGAUUCAACAAAGAAAAAAAAACAUUGUCAAUUUUAAUUUAUGCAAAAAAAAAACAUUGGAAGUUUGGAACUACAAGGAUAUAGAAUAGUAUUUUUUAUUUUUAUUUUUAAAUUAGGAAGUAGAGUGCAAGAGAAAAUAUAUUUCGAUAAGAAUUUGGCCCAAUAUAAUUUGGGCUGUGCCAUGAUUUGUUAGGUUCGGCAGCUCAAUAUAACCAACUUGAAAUUUACGACAAAGAUGAAAGGCUAAAUCAAUAUUCAAAAAAAUGCAUUUAAUGUGCUUUAAAAAAAUAUUAUUUGUAUACAAUUGUUCUAUUUUGUCUUUAUUUAUUACUUUGAAAUAUAUGUUCACAGUCGUUAAAAAUGUGUAAAUUAGUUAAAAAUGGUAGGCCUAUAUUUUUUUAAGAGUUAAAUUUUUUCGAUUUACGAAAGCAGAUCAUUUAUAGACUAACAACGAAGAUUAGGCCCAGGAUUAACUCCGAGUUGGCUACAAUAGCUCGUAUAGCUAGUAAUUAACACUAGAUGUCACGGUGCCCGGAGUCGCAUUGUUGCGUUCAAGGUCUCCAUUAAUGGUGCGAAUCGUUGCCCCAAAUCCCUUCCCCAACGUGAUAGCUGAGUGCACGUGAUUCAUCCAAAACCACAGCGCAGUCUUGAAUGAGAUAACGGCAUUUCUCAAGAGGGAUUGAACGGAUAGAAGCUAGAGUAUUUGUGUCACGACAUCGUUGUCGGGUGGAGUAGAAGCAGCCAUUGCUAUGUGUAUCAAUAAUCAAUGACAAGGGUAUUUAUAUGUGCUUGGUGGGACGGAGGGAAUAUCAAAUUUUGAUUUAUUUUUUCAAAUCUACAAAAUUUGUGCAUAUAUACCUACAUAAAUAUUAGUGUAUUUUGAUCAUUAUUUCAAAAAAUAAAAAACCAUAUUAACUCAGUCAAAUAUUUAAAAUAUUCUGUAAGACUGUCUCACGAUCUUGGCCAGAGUUUCAAUCUGAAUCUUGACCCAUGAGACAGUCUCAAACAAAUUUGGGGAAUGCAUCAAGAUUGACAUGUCUCACAAGCAAGUAGAUAGUCAAGGAAGAGUAAUUCGUAGAUUUAGACAAACGAGAGUCGAAGUUAGUUACCAUUCCCGACCCGAUCAGAUAUUGCAUAGUCUUCUCGAAAUAAAAAUUAAAUAUAAUUCAUAGUAUUAUAAUAAAAUUUUAUUUUUAUUUAAAUACACUUACGUCCACUCUCAUGCGUGACAUGCGCGAAGAACGAUGCAACCUCCUGCUUAGUGUCUGGAAAAUACAAACUAUAUGUAAUUAAUGAAUUUUGCCCUUAUUUAUUCUAUGUUUGACUUGAAAGAGUGCAAGUAGCGCAAGACUACAAUACCCACAAUUUUAACACAACAAACCAUAAUUUCACAAGUGAUCGAAUUCACACUUAUUCCACUCCUAUUAAAUAGUUCAUGCAAGAGACUCUACUUUUUUUAACACAAGAAACCAUAUAAUACAUCGAUUCUUGACAUUCCCAAUUCUAACAACGAAGAUUAGGCCCAGGAUUAACUCUGAGUUGGCUGCAAUAGCUCGUAUAGUAAUUAACACGAGAAGUCACGGCGCCCGGAUUCGCGUUCUUGAAUUCAAGGUCUCCAUUAAUGGCACGAAUCGUGGCCCCAAAUCCUUUCCCCGACGUAAUAGCCGAGUGCACGCUAUCCAUCCAAAACCACAUCGCAGUCUUGAAUGAGAUAACGGCAUCUCUGGCGACAAUUUCAGGGUUGUUCAAUCCAUCAAAGCCGAUGGCUUGGCCGGCUGGGCCGUAGUUGUAGUUUCACGAUAAUUGCAAUGGGCCUCGGCCGUAGUAGCCCUUGUCGGCCACGCACGGCCACUGCCUGUUGCUUUGGUCGCAAUAGUUUCUAGAUCGGCCUAAAAACUUUUUUUUUUUUUAAUUUUCUUCUCUUGUAUGAUAUUUGUAGUGAGGUAUAUAUGACAUAAGGAGUGGUUAUUAUAUAUAAAAAACCAGAAACCUUGUAUGAAAUAAGUCCACUAUGAAUUUACGACGAAAUAUUAUAAAUUCUGUGUGAAAAAUGAUGAUUUCAAAAAAUUGAGUUCAUUCUGCAAAAUCAUGAAUCAACUCACAAUCAAAAAAUUAAAAAUAAUUCCUAUUUUAUACAAUAUAUAUUUGAAUUUAUUUGAACCACUCCAAUAUAGUGUUUCAAUCUGAAUCUUGACCCAUGAGACAGUCUCAAACAAAUUUGGGGACAGAAUACUAGCCCUUCACCACAACAUUUUUUUAUUGUAAACGUACAAAAGCAUUUGUAAUAUACCAACAUCGCACAACCCUUGAAUGAUCCAAAUGUUAGACACAAAAGAAAAGCAGAGUAGAUUGAGACCCUCUAUCUGGAUAACUCGAGAGAAGAAGCAGCAGAGACUCAAUGAGACCAACUGCAGCUCUGUCGGAGCGAGCUGUCAUACGACAGCCAUAGGCUGACGCAACGUCCUCCAACGUCUCCACUCUCCAGUACUCAUCCAUUGCAAUUGCUCCACCUAAUCACAAUUUCCACAAUGAGUGCUGCUGAGGAUGGAUAUAUUCAUUAACGUAUGUUUGUAACUAACCUUGAGAAUUGGCCAUCCAUGAAGCUAAGCAAAGACAUAGCAUUCACUUGUCAAUUUUGAGCACAAACAUUCUUAACAACCUUUUGCAAUUUCGGAUCUUUUCCUUCUCGUAUUCUUUGUUCCUGAAGCAAAACAGAUAUGAUCUCCGAAAAAACCUUGAAUCCUCUCCUGCACAUCUCCUCCAAGAAAGGUAUCGCCUCACACAUCUUAUUGCUCUUCAGAAGAUUCCACACUAUAAUGUUGAAGGUCACGCCAUCAGGCGCGCAGCCACUCUUCUCCAUCUCCUCCAUCAACCUCUUCGCCUCCCCUUCACGCCCUUCACGGUAAAGGGAAUCGAGCAUCAUGUUGUAGAUUACCACAUCUGGAUUUAAGCCCUUGGAACAGAGAUGGUUGAAGAGCCUCAUAGCAUCAUCAAGUCUGCCGCCCUUGCACAAGCCGUUGAUCAUAACACCAUACGUUACAAUAUCAGGAUUCACCCCUUUAGCCUCCAUAACCCUCAAAAACGCAAACGCCUCAUUAAUCCGACUGAUCCUACAGAAGCCAUCUAACAAGAUGUUGUAGGUGUGCAUAUCCGGAUGCAGCUUCUGAGCUUCCAUAUCCUGGAAAAGCUUCCAUCCAUCUAAAAAACUACUUUGGCGUAUUAGCCCGUGCAUCAUCGUGUUGUAUGACACGGUGCAGUGCUUGAGACCUACAAGCGGGAUUACAUCAAAGAAACGCCAUGCUUCAUCAAGGUUUCCCGCCUUGCAGUAUCCCUUAAUAAAGAUAUUAUAGGUGAAUAUAUCAUGCUUGAUUCCAGUGUUUGCCAUUGAAUCGAAGAGCUCUCUGGCUCUAAUCAUCUCGCCCUGCGAGCAAUAUCCAUCUAUCAAUAUGUUGCACGUGACAACAUCAGGCGAGACGCCCUUCUCCACCAUCUCGGACAACAAAAGCCGAGCUUCAUCACCCAUCCCACGCUUGGACAGCCCAUCCAAUAAUAUAUUAUAAGUAUACAAGUUGGGACAAAUAUUAUGUUGCAUCAUAGUUUCCAACAUCUUUUCAGCCGCUUCCAUCUUUCCUUGUUUACAAUAUGUAUGAAUCAAUGUGCUGAAAGUGACGACAUUAGGAGAAACACUUUGUUGCUUCAUAAUUUCCAACAUCUUCGUAGCCGCUUCCAUCUUUCCUUCCUUACAAUAUGCAUUAAUCAAUACAUUGAAAGUGACGACAUUGGGAGAAACAUUUUGUUGCGCCAUACUUUCCAACACAUUUUCAACCUCUUUCAUCAUUCUUUCUUUACACAAUCCAUCAAUUAGUGCGUUAUAAGCCCAAACAUCAGCCCUCCACCCACUACUUUCUAAUCUAUGAAGCCAAUCAUGGGCUGCAAUGACUUGUCCAACUUUGCACAACCCAUCUAUCAAGUGUAGAAGCAUAACACUAUUUGGCUCACAAAGUUUUAAAUCCAGAACCUUUUGAAACAAGUUCACGGCUUCGGCCUCUUUCUCAACAAAGAACAACCCUUUAAUGAGAGUGCCGAUAGUCACGACAUUUACUUCGUAACCACUCUUGAAAAAGAAGCCCAUUAUAGCAAACCCAAAGUUUAUAUCUUUCAAAAGGCAACAACAGUUCACCGCAAUAGUCAUCGUGUAAACAUCAACAGGGACACCCAUCCUAAGCAUUUCAUCAAACAUAUAAAGGGCAAAAGAAUACUGCUCAAUCUUUGCAGUAACACUCAACAGAUUGUUGUACAUUCGAUAGAGAAUAGUCCUUUUUUAUUUAUUUUUUUUAAAUUUAGGAAGUAGAGUGCAAGAGAAAAUAUAUUUCGAUAAGAAUUUGGCCCAAUAUAAUUUGGGCUGCGCCAUAAUUUGUUACAACAAAGAUGAGAGGUUAAAUCAAUAUUCAAAAAAAUGCAUUUAAUGUGCUUUAAAAAAAAAUUACUUUGUUUACAAUUGUUCUAUUUUGUCCUUAUUUAUUACUCUAAAAUAUAUGUUCACAAUCAUUAAAAAUGUGUAAAUUAGAUAAAAAUGGUAGGCCUACAUUUUUUAAAGAGUUAAAUUUUUUCGAUUUACGAAAGCAGAUCAUUUAUAAUAGGACAAUUCAAAAUAGAAUACGGACCGACCACUUUUAAUGGACGGAGGUAGUAAAAAAUAAAUUAAAAAAAAACUUUCAUUCUCACCAUAGGUUAGCAAAUAUCCUCAGCCUCAGCUCAGAAUCUUAUGAGAGAUUGUAUAGUUUAAUUUGCAUCUAAAAACCCGAGUUUGAAAUAUGUAUUUGGACGUCUACGAAGUGUUCGACAGAACGACCAAAAGAGUUAGGAAAGGACCUCAGAGCACUGUGCAGUGAACAGUGGAUCAUCCAUACCAACUAUUCGAGAAAAUGUCUACAUGAAAAAACAAAGAAGAGUAAAAAUUAACUUCAUCAUUAAUUUGUUGAUACGAACCUCAUACAACUUCGAGCCUCUGCCUACUCCUUUCACCUCAACUUUCGAGAAGAACUUGGAUUAUAUUUUCAUUCAUUGAAGGAUCAAACCCUGGCAUACAACUCGAUAUUUAUAAACAUAAGAAAAUUUAUUUAGUACAUGCAACACACAACACACGCACAUAUAUCACUUCGAGAGUGAUCAAAUUCACACUUAGUACAUGCAAGAGACUUCCACUUAUUUAUAACACAACAAACCCUAACUGCAAGCAGGCUUGGUUAAUAGCUCUUGCAAGAGGCCACGCUUGUGUUUCCAACAAUCCCUCCUAACAAAGAAGAUUAGGGCCGGGAUUAACUCCAAGUUGGCUGCAGUAGCUUUUAUAGUAAUUAACACGAGCAGCCACGGCGGCUGGAUUCGCUCCGUUGCAUUCCUUGCCGUUAAUAGCCCUGAUCGUCGCCCCAAAACCCUUCCCCGAUGUGAUAGCCGUGUGCGCGUUAUUGAUCAUCCAGAACCUCAACGCAGUCUUGAAUGAGAUAGCGGGAUCUUUGGCCUCCACAUCAAGAUUUUUCAAUCCAUCAUCGAAGUUUAAGGCUUGGCACAGGUCUGGAUGGGAAACAAGGAGUAUGUUAUAUGUAACAAGACCAUUUUGUAUGAAUGAUUCUCUUUGUAUAUAUAUCACGAGUAGUUUCAUACUCUAUUUCACACAUUGUGUCUCAUUUUGUGGUCCAAGGCCAAAGAGAUAAAAAAAAACUAAAAUACAUAUUAUUCCUAGAACUAUUGUAUCUUCACAUAAAGACAUCAUCAAUCAUGAUCAAUUAUUUGUUCUAGACAAUCAUAAUGUAAAAAUUAUACAAAUUAAGUGACACAAGGGGGUGUUUUAAUAAAUAUAUGAGUAAAAUGUUUAAGAAAAAUAAUAACCAAAAACUGUUUUUAUGCAAAAAAAAAAUAAAAAUUAAAGAUCGUCUGACGGUGAACUUAAACAUGAGUACCGCUAGACCAGCACAUACACAAAAUAACAAAGUAAUAGAGCUUUUUUAUUUUUUAUUUUUUAUUAUUUUUUUUAAAUACACUUACGUCCACUCUCAUGCGUGACAUGCGCGAAGAACGCCGCAACUUCCCGCUUAGAGUCAUUGGCGGAGCCGGUGGCGCCGAAUUUCGGGAACGGCCGAGUUGCCUCAAGGAAGGCGGCGCGUGUGUACAAUCCCUUUCCGGCGCAGCCCUCCGCCGCUUGAUUAGCAAUUCCGUUGAAGAAAUUAUCCGUCACUAUGUCACCAACUUUAUUUGGGUGACAUGGCCCUUCCUGGCAGCCGGGCCCACAGUAAGCAUUGCCUUUGCCGCAGUAGCCGUAUUGGCUGCAGCAGAAGUUGGCAGCGCAGCCGCAGUUUUGGCCGAAAACGAAUUUUCCGGUGGCCAGAAGGAGAGCAAGAAGGGUGUAGAUAGUGAGAGAGGGUUUCAUGAUUGGAGAUAAGAGAGAAAAUGUUGUGUUGGUGUGGAGAUAAAGGCAAGGAUUUAUGGGUAUUUAUUGAGUAAAUGAAGAUGUUUUCAAGCUAGGAACAUUAAAAAUUUGUUACAAUGGAUGAGUUCAUUAUUGACUUUAAUUUGGGGUAGGAUAUUUAAUCUAGAGUAUAUACUAUGUGUGGGCUAUAAAAAGUGGAAUAGUCAAAAUUUGUACAACUAUUAAGAGCUAGUGAAUCUAGUUUUAAAUGAUAACUAAUUAAUUGUUAUCAAAGUUAUCAAAUGGUUUUCUAUUUUUUGUUUGGAUAUAUGACUAUAUAUAGGGUAAUUAGUCCCUCGAGUUGCACUCUACGUAAUUAAAUUAAUAAAGUUUUCCGCUUUUGAUUUAUCUAAGUUUUAUUUUUGUAAGUGAAAUGCAUUGUAUUUUUGUGUUAAACUAUAUCUAUUGCUAUUUUACGAAAUUAUAAUUUGACAUGUUCGAGAUAGCUAUAUAUAUUUAUCAAUAAAUUAAGAAAACUAGAUAUAAAAUAAUCAAGGGAUUAUAGCCAAAAAAUACACGAACUUUGAUAAAAGUUGCAAUUUUCACCUGAACUUUCAAAUUAGCCAAAAUAUACCUGAACUUAUAUUUUUUGUUGUAAAUUCACUACAACAAAAUUCACCUAAUAGGACUCUCGUGAGUGUCCUAAUAUAUGACCUAAUAGGACUUUCAUUACUAUAGGACUUUCAUAAGGAGAGUCCUAUUUGCGCUAGUCACAAUAUGCAUAAUAGGACACUCGCAAUGAUAGGACUCUCACAAGUGUCCUAUUAUGGGAAGCUUGAAAAACUCAAUUUAGGACACUCAGGAGUGUCCUAUUACAGUUUUGUGUGAAAAUACACAUAUUUUUAGUUGAUGUGCAUCCUAUAGCUCAUCAAAUUACCACCUCCUCCACCAACAAUAUUAUAUUAUCAUAUAUAAAAGAUGAAACCAACAUAAAACUGAAGAAUAAGUACAUUAUACUCUAGCCAAAAUAAAUCAAUUAAAUUAAAAAUUAAAAGUGAUACAUCAGCCUAUCUCUACUAAAGUAAAUAAACAAAACAUGUAUUACUAAGGUCUGAACUAAUAGAAAUAAAUUAACUAAAUAAAUAAUAGAUCAUCUUCGAUACAUCAAGGGGAGGCAAAAGCUCGCCAAAGUGCAUCUUCACUCCCCGAAAAGAUUGAUAUCUUCAAGCGUGACUUCAGAGUCACAACAAUUUUCUUUACAGUAUUAUAGUCCUUGAACUGCAUUGAUCAUAUGAAAAAGAAUAAAUUAGCUUUUGGGGGGAAUUAAGAGAAUUAUGCAGAUUCUUGGAAUAGAGAAAAGUAACACAUGUAACCAAAUCUCUUGACUAAAUAUAUUUUAGAGGGAGUCUCUCAACCAAAAACUGGUAUAUAGAGUAAAGAGACUAAGAUUUAAAAGGUGCUUUGGCUUCCUUUUUCUACGCAAGACUCUGACAUUUUUCAUUUUCCACAUGUCCCAUAGCAUAAUACAUACUCCCUCCGUCCACGAAAUGAGUACCCAUUUGUGGACGGCACGGGUUUUAAGAAAUGUAUGGAGUGUAGUGUGAAUAGUUUAAGGGUCCCACUUUUUUAGUGUAUUAAUUAAAGAGAUGUGUGGGGUACACUUGCCAAAAAGGGAAAUGGGUACUCAUUUCGUGGACGGACGAAAAAGGAAAUAUGGGUACUCAUUUCAAUUUAAUUUAUUUUAAGGCAGCGCAGAAAUAGUAUAAUUCAUAGUAGUGAUUAGAUUGGAUAAGACAUUUUUGAACAAGAGUCCCAUUAAAUAUAAAAUAGGACUCAUAACCUGAAAUAGUCCUCAUAUAAGCAUCCCCAAAGGCUGAUUUUGUUGUAGUGAUUUCACCUGAACUUGCAAUGAUUGAACUCCGUCGAGGUGAAAUUUACAACAAAAAAUAUAAGUUCAGGUAUAUUUUGGUCAAUUUGAAAGUUCAGGUGAAAAUUGCAACUUUUAUCAAAGUUCGUGUAUUUUUUGGCUAUAAUCCCAAUAAUCAAUGAUAAUGGAUGUUAUUUUUAUUGUCUAGCUCUUCUCAUUUCUCAUUUUGGUAAACACAAGUUGUUGCGCUGUGUGAAUGAUUUAGCUCCAAGCGAUUAUUAUUUGUUAUUCUUUUAUUUUAAUUAUUUAUAGUUUAUUAUUUACUAUUGUUGGGUUGGGUUAAAUCUGUAGACUAGACUAUUAUGUGUAGGAGUUAUAAUUAGGUAUCAAUCAAUAAUAUUCAUGUUUGGAGAAUUUUAAGGUUUUGGUUGGCCUUGCGUGAUCAUGAAAAUUGGAUUUUUUUUAUUUCACGAGCUUAUCAUGAAUUAUUAAUCCUAUCAUAAAACAAGAUCGUUUUCAGUGUAAUAUAUACACACAAGAUCAAAGAUUUAAACCUUCUCAAAUAGAAGACAAUUAAAUGUAUUUAAUGAAAGUGGGGUUGAUGAAAUAUGAACAAGGAAAAGCAAAUGCUAGCUUAAGUAUCUUCUAUUUCUCAAUAAAUAAAACGUUCAGAAAAUCGUUUUACUACAAAACCUUAUAGUAUAAAUUAGUUAUUUGGAACUAAAUAUAUAUUGUGAGAUAUAUUGUGAGUUAUAUAUUGUGAGAUAUAUUGUGAGUUAAACCAAAUAUAUCUACAAAACCAAAUAUAUAGUUAAACCAAAUAUAAGGUUAAACCAAAUAUAUAGUUAAACCAAAUAUAAGGUUAAACCAAAUAUUAGGUUAAACCAAAUAUAUAGUUAAACCAAAUAUAAGGUUAAACCAAAUAUAAGGUUAAACCAAAUAUAUAGUUAAACCAAAUAUAAGGUUAAACCAAAUACUACAAAUACUACAUCAUUAUAGUAUUUGUAGUUAAACCAAAUACUACAAUUACUACAUCAUUAUAGUUAAACCAAAUAUAAGGUUUUACUACACAACCUUAUAUAUUGUGAGUUCAUAGUAUAAAAGCAUUUGGAACUCAUUUGGAACUCAUUGUUUGUAGUCUAACCAUAUUCUAUAUAUAGGAUAGGGUUAAUUAGUUAUACUACAAAACCUUAUAGNNNNNNNNNNNNNNNNNNNNNNNNNNNNNNNNNNNNNNNNNNNNNNNNNNNNNNNNNNNNNNNNNNNNNNNNNNNNNNNNNNNNNNNNNNNNNNNNNNNNNNNNNNNNNNNNNNNNNNNNNNNNNNNNNNNNNNNNNNNNNNNNNNNNNNNNNNNNNNNNNNNNNNNNNNNNNNNNNNNNNNNNNNNNNNNNNNNNNNNNNNNNNNNNNNNNNNNNNNNNNNNNNNNNNNNNNNNNNNNNNNNNNNNNNNNNNNNNNNNNNNNNNNNNNNNNNNNNNNNNNNNNNNNNNNNNNNNNNNNNNNNNNNNNNNNNNNNNNNNNNNNNNNNNNNNNNNNNNNNNNNNNNNNNNNNNNNNNNNNNNNNNNNNNNNNNNNNNNNNNNNNNNNNNNNNNNNNNNNNNNNNNNNNNNNNNNNNNNNNNNNNNNNNNNNNNNNNNNNNNNNNNNNNNNNNNNNNNNNNNNNNNNNNNNNNNNNNNNNNNNNNNNNNNNNNNNNNNNNNNNGGUUUAACCUUAUAUUUGGUUUAACUAUAUAUUUGGUUUAACCUUAUAUUUGGUUUAACUAUAUAUUUGGUUUUGUAGUAAAACCUUAUAUUUGGUUUUGUAGAUAUAUUUGGUUUAACUCACAAUAUAUCUCACAAUAUAUAACUCACAAUAUAUCUCACAAUAUAUAUUUAGUUCCAAAUAACUAAUUUAUACUAUAAGGUUUUGUAGUAAAACGAUGAACUCACAAUAUAUCUCUUCACUAUCUAUGAGUUCCAAAUGCUUUUUAAAUUAUAUUUUAAAAUGAGUUUAUAUUUAUAUAAUCCCUAUAUAUAAAACUAUUUUUACGUCAUCGAUCGGUAACAUUUAACUAGUUAUGUGAGAUUUGUCUAUAAUUUAUUUAUAAAUUAAAUGGUGCAAACUCCCUUACUUCAAACACAUGUCAUAAUUAUCAUUAGCAUCGAUCAAACAUAAUUUAUUCCAGCAGCCCUGUUUCAUUUAUUAAUCAGCUCAUGCAAGAGGCCACAUUGAUUUAUUCUAUAAUGAAUCCCUCCUAACAGCGAAGAUUAGGCCCGGGAUCGACUCCGAGUUGGCUACAAUAGCUUGUAUAGUAAUUAACACGAGCAGUCACGGCGGUAGGAUUCGCCCCAUUGCAUUCGAUGCUGUUGAUAGCCCUAAUCGUCGCCCCAAAACCCUGACCCGAUGUGAUAAUCGAGUGCACGUUGUUCAUCCAAAACCACAAUGCGGUUUUGAAUGAGAUAGCGGGAUUUGUGGCCACGAUAUCGGGGUUGUUCAAUCCAUCAAAGCCUAUGGCUUGGCCCGCCGGGCCGUAGUUGUAGUUAUACGAUAUUUGCAAUGGGCCGCGGCCGAAGUAUUUUUGGCCCGGUGUACAUGGCCACUGUGUAUUGGUACUAUCGCAAUAGCUGUUAGCUUGAUUUAUCUCUCUUGUGUAGCAUAAGUCUGCAUAGGAAAAAAAAAAGAUUUACAUAAGUAAAAUGUUAUUAUUAUUAUUAUUAUUAUUAUUAUUAUUAUUAUUAUUAUUAUUAAGUUGGUAAGGGUAUGUAUUACCAAGUACUAAAUGAGGAGCUAAUUGUUAAAACAGGACCAUAACUUUUAGUGUUUUUCAAAAAAAUGACUAUAUGUUACAGAAUUUGAAAUUAUUACGUAAUUUAUAAAAUUAUUUGUUCAACAACAAAAAAAAAACUUAACGUCCAGUCUCAUGCGUGACAUGCGCGAAGAACGCCGCGAUCUCUUGCUUAGAAUAGGCGGCGGUGCCGAAUGUCGGGUACGGCUGAAUCGCUUGGAGGAAGGCGGCGCGUGUGUAGAAUCCCUUUCCGGCGCAGCCCGCCGGCGCCUGAUUAGCAAUUCCAUUGAAGAAAUUAUCCGUCACUAUACUAGCAACUGUAUUCCCUCCCGACGAACCGGUGCACGGCCCCGAACGGCAGCCGGGCCCACAAUAAUCGUUGGUGGUGCCGCAGUAGCCGUAUUGGCUGCAGCAGAGGUUGGGAGCGCAGCCGCAGUUCUGGCCGGAAACGUAGUUUCCGGUGGCAAGAAGGAGAGCAAGUAGGGUGUAGAUAGUGAGAGAGUGCUUCAUGUUUGGAGAUGAGAGAGGAAAUGUUGUGUUGGUGUGGAGAUUAAGGCAAGGAUUUAUGGGGUAUUUAUAGAGUAAAUCAAGAUAAUGUGAAGCUAGGAACGUUGGAAAUUUGUUACAAUGGAUGAGUAGAUUAAUUGACUUUUAGGGUCUGGGCAAUAAUGUUAUAUCAGAGUACCUUACAAUAUUAGGUAUUUAGGUAUUUGUUGAAUUUAAUGUGAUGAAAACUUUAUCUUAUUUUGCGUCGGCUUUCAAAGUUGGAAUUAGUCAAAAUAGAGUUACACCACCCUAGGUGAAUAUUAUCGAUGUGUAAUAAUUUACAAAUCACAUAAUGUAAAUCUUAUUAAGAAAUUCCGGUGAAAUUAAUCAGUAAUAAUUUGCAAAUUACGUUAAUGAGACUUAGUUCAAAUGACAAAGCUGAGAUACCCAAAUACUCUCAUUUAUGAAAGGUUUUGGAGGUCAUCGCCUGCUUGCGGGUGACUUAUUUGAUUAUAUAAUGGAUAACCACUUGUAAAAAAAAUAAAAAAAAUUUGCAAAUCACAUAAUGUAAAUCUUACUAAGAAAUUCGAGUGAAAUUAAAUAUGCUCGGUCAAUAUAUGCAUAUCCACGAGAUCAAGAUUUAAACCCUUUCAAAUAAAAGGCAAACGUAUUUAUGAAAUAAGAGAAAAAAACAUAUACUAGCUUAAUUCUAUAGACAAAAAUAGUUAGUUCUAAUUCUAUAUCUCAACAAUAAGAAAAUGAAAAAUAAUUAACCCAUUUUAGUGCAAAUAUAAUUCAGUUGACGUGGUCAUGGUCAAGCCUAACAAUUGACAAACACAUGCCGCAAUUCUUCAAAACCACACAAUCACUCCUCCACAGAUGUGGAGUUAUUCCAUAAAAGGGUUGCUCCAAAUCUACAAUCAUCAGAUGACUCCACAUCAAUUUACUCCUUUCACAUCUCGAAAAGUAAAUCGUCAUCGAGCGUUCAUCCUUUGCAAGAAUCUCAUCUUCUUCUUUUAGGAAUUGUGAAUAAUAACUAGUGUUAUGAUUCACCAUUGUGACAGCACGAAACACUUCAUUCUUCAUGUCAAAGGUUAGUAUAAUUACCUUAUCAUCUUUUUCUCGCGCUAGCCAGUGCGCAAAGUGGCCAUUCUUGCACGACGACUUUAUGGGCUUAACGAUCUCCAAUAGCUGAGCAAGCACGCCGCCGCCGCCCAAAUCCCUCCAAGAAUCCGUCGCUCUCGAAUACAGCUGGGCGUGGAACUGGAGGUAGCUGUGUUCGGUGUAAUACACAUGCAUCAGCUCCACCACUUUGUAAUCUUUGUCGAAACCAAUCCCGACGUCGCGCCUGGCAAAUAAUCGGCAUGAUGGGGAAAGAAAAGAGGGAGGAUUCGGUAGAUUCUUGAAUUGACCUAGAAAAGGGUUGCAUAUGGCUAUGGAGGGCACCUUGAAUUUCCUGUUCACAAUGCCAAUUAGACCCUUCACCGGCCCAACAAACUUGAUUCGCGAGAAGUAACAAAAGGCGUUGUUGUACGACUCCAAUGACUUCCCGUUGUCUAGGAGCUUUACUGAUAGUUUCGGAUCUGGAUCAUCGCGAAAAGGAUAAGAAAAUUGUAGAUAUACAACGUCGUUUUGUUGUUGUUGUUGUUGUUUUUGUUGGUAUGCAUGCCAGAAUUUGCAGACAGAUCUGAAUCUCAAGAGGGAUUGAACGGAUAGCAGCAAGAGUAUUUGUGUCACGACGUCGACGUCGUUGUCGGGUGGAGUAGAAGCAGCCAUUGCUAUGUGUUUCAAUAAUCAAUUACAUAAUUUUGGCCUAAUCAUAAACAUAUAUUUUUUCUUAUAUGAUAUAUGUAAGCUUAAUUUUGGCCUCAUCAUAAACAUAUAUUUUUUCUUAUAAGCUUGGAUAUUAGCCUAAAACAAAUUGGGCUUAAUAUAUAUCAUAAACAUAAUUCUUUUUAGUUCAUAGCCUUUUAUUGUAUUCUCCAUAGCCUAACAUAAAUUGGGCUUAAUAUAUAUCAUAAACAUAUUUCUUUUUAGUUCAUGGCCUUUUUCUGUGUUCUCCAUGGCAAAAAAUAAAUUGGGCUUAAAAUAUAUAAUAAACAUACCGUAUAGUUUGGGUGAUUCUAUUCACAGUCUCAUUUUACUUUGUAUAGCCCUCUAUUUAAAAGAUGCAAUGAUUAUUGAUCCAAAAAACCAUUGUUAGUAGGUGUGUAAAAUGGCGUUGAAACUGGUGUCAUACAGUUUUUUGGCAGAAGUUUAAUAUGCAUAAACAUGUUUCUUUAUCAUAUUAUGAUAAAGGGCUAUAAAUAUUUUAAGAUAAAACGAUAUAAAUAUUUUCAGAUUACAAUUGAGAGUUACACAUAUUUAUUUAAAUGAAAUUGUUAAUUUAUUAUAAAUUUAAUUUAAUUUGGGAACUAUGAAGUAUAGGAUAAAAAUAUAAAUUUAUAAUUAUUAUUCAAGAUAGGAGGCUAUAGAAAGUAAAAUAGGGGCUAUGAAUAGAACCACCCCUGUAGCUACUGUAUUACCAGAAAAUGAAACCUAAAAUUAUCAAAAAGUAGUAAUAAACAAAAAUGUAAAAUAAUACUAUGAAAAGCGCAUUUUUAACUGUGUCUAUAAUGCUUUAGACAUCGUAAUGUCAUGCAACGAUUUUACGAUGCAAUAUUUUCAAGAAUUCUUGUAUAUAACAUUUUCCAGACCUUUUUAGUUAUAUAUAAAUAAAUUUUUAACUGACAAUUUUUGUAUCAAGCAAUUAAGUAUGUUCAAAGUGUUGGAAAUCUGCUAUGCAGGCGAAAACGUUCAGCAGAAUUAACGCCUACAAAGUGCUCGACCGAACGACUGAAAGAGUUAAAAGAAAGGGCUGCAGAAAUCUUCACACCAACUGUUUGGGAAAAUGCCUUGAAGAGAAAAAGGACUGCAAAAGUGGAGAAGCUGAACCGUUGAGAAUACCCAUUUCUAUAAAUGGUGGAAACUUCAAUUCAAAUACAUUAUUAUCACCCUUAAUGAUCAAACAUCAUUAAUUUAUUCCAUGCAUGCUAAUUAGCUCUCCUAACAACGAAGAUUAGGUCCAGGGUUAACUCCGAAUUGGUUACAAUAACUCGUAUAAUAAUUAACACGAGCAGUCACGGCGGCCGGGAUCCCGCCGUCGCAUUCCCCGCCAUGAAUAGCCCUAAUCGUGGCCCCAAAACCCCGCCCCGAUGUAAUAGCUGUGUGCACCCUAUUCAUCCAGAACCACAGCGCGGCCUUGAAUGAGAUGGCGGGGUCACGGGCCACGAUAUCGGGGUUGUUCAAUCCAUCAAAAUUUAGGGCUUGGCCCGCCGGGCCGUAGUUGUAGUUCCACGUCAGCUGUAGCGGGCCUCUGCCGUAGUACCUCUGGCCCGGCGUGCACGGCCACUGUUUGUUGCUAUUGCAAUAGAUCGCCUUGUUUAUCUCUCGUGUGUAGCACAUGUCUGCAUGGGAAAGAAAAUUAUCAGAUCGUCUGAUGGGUCAAGAUUCAUCACAUAUAUUCAUUAAUAAUACUCCCUCCGUCCGCCAAAAGUAUUCCACUUUGGCCUGGCACGGAGUUUAAUAAAAUGUGUGAUGAUGUUGAUGUAGUGGAGAAAGGGCCCUACCACUUUAUGAGAUAUGUGGUUGAGAUUGAAUUUGAGGUGAGUUUUUGUAAAUAAAGAGUGUUUGUAAGGANCCUACGUCGCCUUACCUCUAAAUCUCCGACCUGACUUGAUUUGUUACGAAAAAAAAGGAAAAAUAAUACUCCCUCCGUCCGUCAAAAGUAUUCCACUUUGGCCGGGCACGGAGUUUAAUAAAAUGUGUGAUGAUGUUGAUGUAGUGGAGAAAGGGCCCUACCACUUUAUGAGAUAUGUGGUUGAGAUUGAAUUUGAGGUGAGUUUUUUGUAAAUAAAGAGUGUUUGUAAGGAUAAAAUAUAAAGGUGGAUGGUGGGACCAUGGCUUAAAAAGGAAAGUGGAAUACUUUUUGCGGACGCCAAAUAUAGUAAUUGUGGAAUACUUUUGGCGGACGGAGGGAGUAUUAAUCUUUGGUUUAUGGUUGUGUUCGGAUAUAGACAUUGAAUUAAUUUAUGGAUUUUGACACGUCAUACCGUCUGACAUGAUAUUAUUUCCCUAGUUCAAUAUUGAUUUCAACUCAUAUAAGUUGUGAGACAGAGAAUCUCAUCGAAUUAUCAAUAUUUUGUGUGAAGCAUUGUACAAUAGCGCUUCUAAAGCCUAAUUAAAUAGUAGGAGUAAAAAAUUUGUCUUUCGAAAUCUCAAACUCAAUACAUGUGUGCAAGAUGAUUAAUGCCCAAGGCCUGAAGUGCUGAAUUUGAUUCCACCGUGGCACGAUUUUUAAUUUAUUUAUUUAGUUGUGUAAUUUAUACAAAAAAAAAAAAAAAAAAAGAUAUAGCUCCUAAGUGAGAGUAACAAAGUUAACAAUUAAAAAGAAAUGUGAUUAUAUAUAAAAUUAUAAUCUUUUAAAAAGUAAAAUAAAAAUAAAUAAAUAAGAAAACUUAGUCCAAUCUAAUGUGUGACAUGCCAUGACCUCACGCUCCGAUUCGUCGGUGGACACGAGUUUCGAAAAAAAUUAAUUAUAUAUAAUUAGUAACAAUAUGUCCGAAAAUAGAAUAGGAAGAUAUUUUAUGGAGGAAUCAAAAAAGAAAAGUAGGAAAAUAUUUCGUGGACUUACGCCCGGUCUCGUGCGUGACAUGAGCGAAGAACGCCGCGAUCUCACGCUUCGAGUCGUCGGCGGACCCCACCGUGCCGAAGUUGGGGUACAGCUGAAUCGCUUGUAGGAAGGCGGCGCGUGUGUAGAAUCCCUUCCCGGCGCAGCCCCGCCACGCCUGAUUAGCAAUGCCGUUGAAGAAACUAUCUGUCACCACGCCGCCGACAUUGCUCCGUUGUUUUGGUCCGGAGACGGUAUUUUUCCGGUGGCUAGGAGGAGAGCGAGAAGGGCGUAGAUAGUGAGGGAAUGGUUCAUUUUGGAGAUAGCUAAGAGUAGUGAGAAAAUAUUGUGUUGGUGUUGAGAAAUAAUGUGGGGAUUUAUGGGUAUUUAAAGAGUGAAAUAAAUAUAUACUCCAUUAUUUUAUUUUAUCUUUAGAAGGAUAAUGGGAAGAGGAAGAUAUCUUGAAGCUAGGAAGAUUGGAAGUUUGUUACAAAUGGAUUAAUUAGUAUAUUAUUGACUUUUGGAAUGCCUUAUAGUGUAUGAUACUAUUUGAUUUUAUUGUGGUGGAAAUUUGUGUUGGAUUUUCCAAAGUGGAGUAGGUAAACUUGACUUACUAUUAAGAGUCAACUCAUAAUAUUUACACCAUAACUAGUUACUUGUAAUCUAAUUAUAUGCUAAAGGAUAUUGUUCACUACAAAUUAUACUUAUAAGUUCAAAUGAGAAGGUAUAUAAUGUACUAUACAUUAAAAAUUAUUUUAGUACUGAAAAUGUGAAGAUUUACUGUGAAUUCAUCACUUUGCUGAACGAUCUCAUAAUUCAUGGAUCAUACUGAAUUUAAAUCUUAAAGGUGUUGAAAAUUUAUUUUCUUUUAAUUCAUUACUUUUCAUUUUCACAAUGAAUUCAUAAUAAUUCAUAUAUGAGAUGUUUGAUUUGAGCGAUAAGCAUGACUGAUAAACAAGCCCAACUUAACUAAACAUUUGGUUUGUAUGAUUCGACUCGUAAUAUAAUUUGGCCCGUAAUUUAAUCAUAUAAUAAAAUGAUCAUUUAUCACUUUAAAAUUGAGUUGAUUAUAUAUAACUAUAUCCGACAUUAUAAACAAUGAGACCAAAUAUAUAAAGACUCCAAAAUAAAAAUAAAAAAACCACGAAAGUGUUUAAUAAAAAUGAAAUAAAAGAAGAAUAUGAAAAACCAACAUACUAGUGAGUCACAUGAUUCUCUAGAGUCUUUGGUCAAUUCUAUAUCUCAAUACAUUAAAAAUAAUAAAUAUUAUAGUCCAAACUUAGGGGGUGUAUUAGUUCAAGAUUUAUGUAGAUUUUAAAAAUCCGUGGAUUUUAAAAGUCUAUAGAAUUCUCACGGAUUCUUCAUGAUUUUGAAUGAAUUCUUGGUCGGAUUUUUAAUGAAUUAGCAAGAAUUUGACGUGAUAUUUUCGGACUUGAAAUCCACAAACCCAAUGAGCGCGGGAAUUGAACGAGCGCUAGACCUACUUUCAGCGGCCGCUAGGGGCCCAUGAGCGCUGGAUACCUAGCGAGCGCUGGGUUCCAGCGAGCGCUCAAACCAUAUAUCACAUCAUUGGAUUUGGUUGGUGCCUAAAAUUUUACCGGUGGUGCACAUAUAUUCCCAACUUUCACACAGUUAUAUAUAUUAUCAUAUAGUAUUUCAAACAUGCAUAUGCGCCUCCCAAUAACUGGAUUUAUGAUUAUUAUUUUGACUACACUGGUUCUAUUUCUAUGUAAUCGGCGCUAUUUAAUUCUAGUGGGUAACUAUUAUUUGCAUGCAUUCCCAUUAUUAUAUAUAUAUCUCUAUCCACUAAGCAAUUUAAUUUCCUAAUGGAUAAUAUGGUGAUGGGAGCUUCCCGAAGAAAAUCAUGGCACCACGAGCGCUGAAGAAACUUGACCGCUGGAAUCAUUGGCAACGGCCGCUAGGGUCCAGCGGCCGCUGGCACCCAGCGAGCGCGGGGAUUUUGCAGGAUUUGUGAAUUCUCGUGGUCUGUGUUCGGAUUUGUUCAUACUUAUUUUUUCAACGAAAUCAAUGAAAGUCGUUCCAAUUUUAAAGUCCAUAGAUUAACGAAUACAUCCAGAUUUUCAUAGACUUUUAAAAGUCUUGAACAAAUACACCCAGAUAUUUAUAGACUUUUAAAAGUCUUGAACGAAUACACCUAGAUUUUCAUAGACUUUUAAAAGUUUUGAACGAAUACACCUAGAUUUUCAUAGACUUUUAAAAGUCUUGAACUAAUACACCUAACCUUUAAAAGUCUGCAGAAAUCUAUUAAAGUCUUAAACUAAUACACCCCCCUUGGUUCACGUGAUCAUGGUCCCCAUAUGUAAUACCGACCUAAUUUUCCACAUUCUCUUUUUUCUCUUUUUUUUUUUUUCUUUUUUUCUUCUAGUAACAUUUUUGUAUUCUCAUCCCUUCUUGUUUAUACCACAUAUAACAAAUAUCUCAUUGAUUUAAUCUAUUUCAAUUUUUUUUAAAAGAUAUUUCCUAAAUAUAACCUACCCCAAUUAACAUUAGCUAAGACUUCAAGUUAAAUAUUAAAAAAGAGGGGGAAAAGGCCUUAAAAUACACAAAGUUUGGACGAAUUCUGAUUUUACACACAACUUUUGAAAUUUGAAAAAAAAAAUACAACAAAUUUUAAUUUUUUUUUAUUUUUUCCUAAAUUUAAAAAUACCCUAAAAUUAGAAACAUAUGAGUUGCUACUACAACCCAACACAGCAAGCUCAUAACCCGUACAUAUAAUGUAUUUAAUGAGCUUCGCAAUUCAACAUGAAAAUAAAGCUUUCUCUCGCAAUCAAACGUUAACUCACAAGAAAAUGAAAAUAAAUUGUAGCAGUUUAAAAUUUAAUGUAUUUCAUUUCAAAUUUCAAAGGUUGUGAGCAUAUUAAAAUUUUAUUUUUAUUUUUUCAUGGAUUAAUGUUUGAUUGCGAGAGAAAACUUUAAUCAAUAUUUUGAAUAUAAAUUUAAAUAUAAAUAUAAAUUUAUAUUCGGUAAACAAAAUUCGGGAUUCGAUGCGAUACUAAACAAAUCAAACUUGAGCACACCAGUAUUCAAUUCGACUCGGUUCGAUUAUACCCCUAUGUAUUCCCAGAAAAUGAAACCUUUUACCAAAAAGUACAAAGAUGUAAAAUAAUACUGUGAAAAGCGCAUUUUCAACUGUCUGUAAUGCUUUAGACAUCGUAUGUCGUGCAACGAUUUUACGAUGCAAUAUUUUCAAGAAUUCUUGAAAUUCACUGUAUCCAGCUUGGAUCCAUAACAUUUUUCAGACCUUUUUAGUUAUAUACUCCCUCCGUCCAUGAAAGAACUUCCUAUGAGGGAGUGGCACGGGUUUUAAUAAAAUGUUGUAUAGUGUAUUGAGAAUGGAGAAAAAGUUGUAAAGUGUAUUGGGAAUUGUGAAAAAGUAUUAAUAAUUUAUUGUGUUGUUUUAAUUAAUGUUAUUUGAGUGGUGGGAAUUGUCUUAAAAGGGGAGUAUUUUUUAAGUGGUGGGGUAUUGUCCCAAAAUAGGAAAAAGUAGGAAGUUCUUUCGUGGAUGUCCCGAAAUAGAAAAAUAGGAAGUUCUUUCGUGGACGGAGGGAGUAUACAUUUUUAACAGACAAUCUUUGUAUCAAGUAAAUAUGUUCAAACUGUUGGAAAUCUGCUAUGCUAUGCUGGAGAAAUCGUUCAGCAGAAUAGACGCCUACAAAGUGCUCGACAGAACGACUGAAAGAGUUAAAAGAAAGGGCUGCAGAAAUCUUCACACCAACUGUUUGGGAAAAUGCCUUCAAUAGAAAAAGGACUGCAAAAGUGGAGAAGCUGAACCGUUGAGAAUACCCAUUUCUAAUGCUGCAAACUUCAAUUCAAAUACACUAAUGAUCAAACAUCAUUAAUUUAUUCCAUGCAUGUUAAUUAGCUCUCCUAACAACGAAGAUUAGGUCCGGGAUUAACUCCGAAUUGGUUACAAUAACUCGUAUAAUAAUUAACACGAGCAGUCACGGCGGCCGGGAUCCCUCCGUCGCAUUCCCCGCCAUGAAUAGCCCUAAUCGUGGCCCCAAAACCCCGCCCCGAUGUAAUAGCUGUGUGCACCCUAUUCAUCCAGAACCACAGCGCGGCCUUGAAUGAGAUGGCGGGGUCCCGGGCCACGAUAUCGGGGUUGUUCAAUCCAUCAAAAUUUAGGGCUUGGCCCGCCGGGCCGUAGUUGUAGUUCCACGUCAGCUGUAGCGGGCCUCUGCCGUAGUACCUCUGGCCCGGCGUGCACGGCCACUGUUUGUUGCUAUUGCAAUAGAUCGCCUUGUUUAUCUCUCGUGUGUAGCACAUGUCUGCAUGGGAAAGAAAAUUAUCAGAUCGUCUGAUGGGUCAAGAUUCGUCACAUAUAUUCAUUAAUAAUAUUAAUCUUUGGUUUAUGGUUGUGUUCGGAUAUAGACAUUGAAUUAAUUUAUGGAUUCUGACUCGUCAUACCGUCUGACAUGAUAUUAUUUCCCUAGUUCAAUAUUGAUUUCAACUCAUAUAAGUUGUGAGACAGAGAAUCUCAUCGAAUUAUCAAUAUUUUGUGUGAAGCAUUGUACAAUAGCGCUUCUAAAACCUAAUAAAAAAUUUGUCUUUCGAAAUCUCAAACUCAAUACAUGUGUGCAAGAUGAUUAAUGCCCAAGGUCUGAAGUGCUGAAUUUGAUUCCACCGUGGCACGAUUUUUAAUUUAUUUAUUUAGUUGUGUAAUUUAUCAAAAAAAAAUUGUUUUGAAAAAAAAAUAGAAAAAGAUAGCUCCUAAGUGAGAGUAACAAAGUUAACAAUUAAAAAGAAAUGUGAUUAUAUAUAAAAUUAUAAUCUUUUAAAAAGUAAAAUAAAAAUAAAUAAAUAAGAAAACUUAGUCCAAUCUAAUGUGUGACAUGCGCGAAGAACGCCAUCACCUCACGCUCUGAUUCGUCGGUGGACACGAGUUUCGAGAAAAUUUAAUUAUAUCUUUGGUGAAUGCAAAAAGGGUUUAUAAUUUAGAAAAAAAUAGUGAGUGAAUUUAUGUGAGUCCAUUAGUGAUAAUGCGUGUAAAUAUAUGGUAAUUUUAAUUGUAAUAAUUAGUAACAAUAUGUUCGAAAAUAGAGUAGGAAGAUAUUUUAUGGAGGAAUCAAAAAAGAAAAUUAGGAAAAUAUUUCGUGGACUUACGCCCGGUCUCGUGCGUGACAUGAGCGAAGAACGCUGCGAUCUCACGCUUCGAGUAGUCGGCGGACCCCACCGUGCCGAAGUUGGGGUACAGCUGAAUCGCUUGUAGGAAGGCGGCGCGUGUGUAGAAUCCCUUCCCGGCGCAGCCCCGCCCCGCCUGAUUAGCAAUGCCGUUGAAGAAACUAUCUGUCACCACGCCGCUGACAUUGCCUCCGUUGUUUUGGCCGGAGACGUAUUUUCCGGUGGCUAGGAGGAGAGCGAGAAGGGCGUAGAUAGUGAGGGAAUGGUUCAUUUUGGAGAUAGCUAAGAGUAGUGAGAAAAUAUUGUGUUGGUGUUGAGAAAUAAUGUGGGGAUUUAUGGGUAUUUAAAGAGUGAAAUAAAUAUAUACUCCAUUAUUUUAUUUUAUCUUUAGAAGGAUAAUGGGAAGAGGAAGAUUGGAAGUUUGUUACAAAUGGAUUAAUUAGUAUAUUAUUGACUUUUGGAAUGCCUUAUAGUAUAUGAUACUAUUUGAUUUUAUUGUGGUGGAAAUUUGUGUUGGAUUUUCCAAAGUGGAGUAGGUAAACUUGACUUACUAUUAAGAGUCAACUCAUAAUAUUUACACCAUAACUAGUUACUUGUAAUCUAAUUAUAUGCUAAAGGAUAUUGUUCACUACAAAUUAUACUUAUAAGUUCAAAUGAGAAGGUAUAUAAUGUACUAUAAAUUAAAAAUUAUUUCAGUACUGAAAAUGUGAAGAUUUACUGUGAAUUCAUCACUUUGCUGAACGAACUCAUAAUUCAUGGUUCAUACUGAAUUUAAAUCUUAAAGGUGUUGAAAAUUUAUUUUCUUUUAAUUCAUUACUUUUCAUUUUCACAAUGAAUUCAUAAUAAUUCAUAUAUGAGAUGUUUGAUUUGAGCGAUAAGCAUGACUGAUAAACAAGCCCAACUUAACUAAACAUUUGGUUUGUAUGAUUCGACUCGUAAUAUAAUUUGGCCCGUAAUUUAAUCAUAUAAUAAAAUGAUCAUUUAUCACUUUAAAAUUGAGUUGAUUAUAUAUAACUAUAUCCGACAUUAUAAACAAUGAGACCAAAUAUAUAAAGACUCCAAAAUAAAAUAAAAAACCACGAAAGUGUUUAAUAAAAAUGAAUAAAAUAAGAAUAUGAAAACCAACAUACUAGUGAGUCACAUGAUUCUCUAGAGUCUUUGGUCAAUUCUAUAUCUCAAUACAUUAAAAAUAAUAAAUAUUAUAGUCCAAACUUAGGGGUGUAUUAGUUCAAGAUUUAUGUAGAUUUUAAAAAUCCGUGGAUUUUAAAAGUCUAUAGAAUUCUCACGGAUUCUUCAUGAUUUUGAAUGAAUUCUUGGUCGGAUUUUUAAUGAAUUAGCAAGAAUUUGACGUGAUAUUUUCGGACUUGAAAUCCACAAACCCAAUGAGCGCGGGAAUUGAACGAGCGCUAGACCUACUUUCAGCGGCCGCUAGGGGCCCAUGAGCGCUGGAUACCUAGCGAGCGCUGGGUUCCAACGAGCGCUCAAACCAUAUAUCACAUCAUUGGAUUUGGUUGGUGCCUAAAAUUUUACCGGUGGUGCACAUAUAUUCCCAACUUUCACACUGUUAUAUAUAUUAUCAUAUAGUAUUUCAAACAUGCAUAUGCGCCUCCCAAUAACUGGAUUUAUGAUUAUUAUUUUGACUACACUGGUUCUAUUUCUAUGUAAUCGGCGCUAUUUAAUUUUAGUGGGUAACUAUUAUUCGCAUGCAUUUCCAUUAUUAUAUAUAUAUCUCUAUCCACUAAGCAAUUUAAUUUCCUAAUGGAUAAUAUGGUGAUGGGAGCUUCCCGAAGAAAAUCAUGGCACCACGAGCGCUGAAGAAACUUGACCUCUGGAAUCAUUGGCAACGGCCGCUGGCUUCUUGGCCGCGGGCGCUGGCACCCAGCGAGAGCGGGGAUUUUGCAGGAUUUGUGAAUUCUCGUGGUCUGUGUUCGGAUUUGUUCAUGCUUGUUUUUUCAACGAAAUUAAUGAAAGUCAUUUCAAUUUUAAAGUCCAUAAAUUAUCGAAUACAUCCAGAUUUUUAUAGACUUUUAAAAGUCUUGAACGACCUAAAUUUUCAUAGACUUUUAAAAGUAUUGAACGAAUACACCUAGAUUUUCAUAGACUUUUAAAAGUCUUGAACUAAUACACCUAACCUUUAAAAGUCUGCAGAAAUCUAUUAAAGUCUUAAACUAAUACACCCCCCUUAAUUGGUUCACGUGAUCAUGGUCCCCAUAUGUAAUACCGACCUAAUUUUCCACAUUCUCUUUCUUCUUCUUUUUUUUUUUUCUUUUUUUCUUCUAGUAACAUUUUUGUAUUCUCAUCCCUUCUUGUUUAUACCACAUAUAACAAAUACUCCCUCCGUCCCACUGUAAGUGAGACCUUUUUUUUGGGCACGAGAAUUAAGAAAGGUGUAUUUUGUGUGUAAGUGAAAAAAGUGAAAAUGUGUUUAAAGGGAAAAACUUUUACCUAAAAAGGAAAGAGUCUCACUUACAAUGGGACGCCCAAAAUAGAAAGAGUCUCAGAUACAGUGGGACGGAGGGAGUAUCUCAUUGAUUUAAUCUAUUUCAAUUUUUUUUAAAAGAUAUUUCCUAAAUAUAACCUACCCCAAUUAACAUUAGCUAAGACUUCAAGUUAAAUAUUAAAAAAGAGGGGGAAAAGGCCUUAAAAUACACAAAGUUUGGACGAAUUCUGAUUUUACACACAACUUUUGAAAUUUGAAAAAAAAAUACAACAAAUUUUAAUUUUUUUUUAUUUUUUCCUAAAUUUAAAAAUACCCUAAAAUUAGAAACAUAAAAGUUGCUACUACAACCCAACACAGCAAGCUCAUAACCCGUACAUAUAAUGUAUUUAAUGAGCAUCGCAAUUCAACAUGAAAAUAAAGCUUUCUCUCGCAAUCAAACAUUAACUCACAAGAAAAUGAAAAUAAAUUGUAGCUGUUUAAAAUUUAAUGUAUUUCAUUUCAAAUUUCAAAGGUUGUGAGCAUAUUAAAAUUUUAUUUUUAUUUUUUCGUGGAUUAAUGUUUGAUUGCGAGAGAAAACUUUAAUCAAUAUUUUGAAUAUAAAUAUAAAUAUAAAUAUAAAUUUAAAUAUAAAUUUAAAUAUAAAUUUAUAUUCGGUAAACAAAAUUCGGGAUUCGAUGCGAUACUAAACAAAUCAAACUUGAGCACACCACUAUUCAAUUCGGCUCGAUCGGUUCGAUUAUACGCCUAUGUAUAAUGUAUUCCCGGAAAAUGAAACCUUUAACAAAAAGUACAAAGAUGUAAAAUAAUACUGUGAAAAGCGCAUUUUCAACUCUCUAUAAUGCUUUAGACAUCGUAUGUCAUGCAACGAUUUUACGAUGCAAUUUUUUCAAGAAUUCUUGAAAUUCACUGUAUCCAGCUUGGAUCCAUAACAUUUUUCAGACCUUUUUAGUUAUAUAUACAUUUUUAACUGACAAUCUUUGUAUCAAGUAAAUAUGUUCAAACUGUUGGAAAUCUGCUAUGCUAUGCUGGAGAAAUCGUUCAGCAAAAUAGACGCCUACAAAGUGCUCGACAGAACGACUGAAAGAGUUAAAAGAAAGGGCUGCAGAAAUCUUCACACCAACUGUUUGGGAAAAUGCCUUGAAUAGAAAAAGGACUGCAAAAGUGGAGAAGCUGAACCAUUGAGAAUACUCAUUUCUAAUACGGCAAACUUCAAUUCAAAUACACUAAUGAUCAAACAUCAUUAAUUUAUUCCAUGCAUGUUAAUUAGCUCUCUUAACAACGAAGAUUAGGUCCAGGAUUAACUCCGAAUUGGUUACAAUAACUCGUAUAAUAAUUAACACGAGCAGUCACGGCGGCCGGCUUCCCUCCAUUGCAUUCUCCGCCGUUAAUAGCCCUAAUCGUGGCCCCAAAACCCCGCCCCGAUGUAAUAGCCGUGUGCACGCUAUUCAUCCAGAACCACAGCGCGGCCUUGAAUGAGAUGGCGGAGUCCCGGGCCACGAUAUCGGGGUUGUUCAAUCCAUCAAAAUUUAGGGCUUGGCCCGCCGGGCCGUAGUUGUAGUUCCACGUCAGCUGUAGCGGGCCUCUGCCGUAGUAGCUCUGGCCCGGCGUGCACGGCCACUGUUUGUUGCUACUGCAAUAGACCGCCUUGUUUAUCUCUCGUGUGUAGCACAUGUCUGCAUGGGAAAGAAAAUUAUCAGAUCGUCUGAUGGGUCAAGAUUCGUCACAUAUAUUCAUUAAUAAUAUUAAUAUUUGGUUUAUGGUUGUGUUCGGAUAUAGACAUUGAAUUAAUUUAUAGAUUUUGACUCGUCAUACCGUCUGACAUGAUAUUAUUUCCCUAGUUCAAUAUUGAUUUCAACUCAUAUAAUUAAGUUGUGAGACAGAGAAUCUCAUCGAAUUAUCAAUAUUUUGUGUGAAGCAUUGUACAAUAGCUUCUAAAACCUAAUUAAAUAGUACAAAAAUUGUCUUUCGAAAUCUCAAACUCAAUACAUGUGUGCAAGAUGAUUAAUGCCCAAGGCCUGAAGUGCUGAAUUUGAUUCCACUGUGGCACGAUUUUUAAUUAAUUUAUUUAAUUGUGUAAUUUAUCAAAAAAAAAUAGAAAAAUAUAGCUCCUAAGUGAGAGUAACAAAGUUAACAAUUAAAAAGAAAUGUGAUUAUAUAUAAAAUUAUAAUCUUUUAAAAAGUAAAAUAAAAAUAAAUAAAUAAGAAAACUUAGUCCAAUCUAAUGUGUGACAUGCCAUGACCUCACGCUCCGAUUCGUCGGUGGACACGAGUUUCGAGAAAAUUUAAUUAUAUAUAAUUAGUAACAAUAUGUCCGAAAAUAGAAUAGGAAGAUAUUUUAUGGAGGAAUCAAAAAAGAAAAUUAGGAAAAUAUUUCGUGGACUUACGCCCGGUCUCGUGCGUGACAUGAGCGAAGAACGCCGCGAUCUCACGCUUCGAGUCGUCGGCGGACCCCACCGUGCCGAAGUUGGGGUACAGCUGAAUCGCUUGUAGGAAGGCGGCGCGUGUGUAGAAUCCCUUCCCGGCGCAGCCCCGCCCCGCCUGAUUAGCAAUGCCGUUGAAGAAACUAUCUGUCACCACGCCGCCGACAUUGCCUCCGUUGUUUUGGCCGGAGACGUAUUUUCCGGUGGCUAGGAGGAGAGCGAGAAGGGCGUAGAUAGUGAGGGAAUGGUUCAUUUUGGAGAUAGCUAAGAGUAGUGAGAAAAUAUUGUGUUGGUGUGGAGAAAUAAUGUGGGGAUAUGGGUAUUUAAAGAGUGAAAUAAAUAUAUACUCCAUUAUUUUAUUUUAUCUUUAGAAGGAUAAUGGGAAGAGGAAGAUAUCUUGAAGCUAGGAAGAUUGGAAGUUUGUUACAAAUGGAUUAGUAUAUUAUUGACUUUUGGAAUGCCUUAUAGUAUAAGGUACUAUUUGAUUUUAUUGUGGUGGAAAUUUGUGUUGGAUUUUCCAAAGUGGAGUAGGUAAACUUGACUUACUAUUAAGAGUCAACUCAUAAUAUUUACACCAUAUAUAACUAGUUACUUAUAAUCUAAUUAUAUGCUAAAGGAUAUUGUUCACUACAAAUUAUACUUAUAAGUUCAAAUGAGAAGGUAUAUAAUGUACUAUAAAUUAAAAAUUAUUUCAGUACUGAAAAUGUGAAGAUUUACUGUGAAUUCAUCACUUUGCUGAACGAACUCAUAAUUCAUGGUUCAUACUGAAUUUAAAUCUUAAAGGUGUUGAAAAUUCAUUUUCUUUUAAUUCAUUACUUUUCACAAUGAAUUCAUAAUAAUUCAUAUAUGAGAUGUUUGAUUUGAGCGAUAAGCAUGACUGAUAAACAAGUCCAACUUAACUAAACAUUUGGUUUGUAUGAUUCGACUCGUAAUAUAAUUUGGCCCGUAAUUUAAUCAUAUAAUAAAAUGAUCAUUUAUCACUUUAAAAUUGAGUUGAUUAUAUAUAACUCUAUCCGACAUUAUAAACAAUGAGACCAAAUAUAUAAAGACUCCAAAAUAAAAAUAAAAAAACCACGAAAGUGUUUAAUAAAAAUGAAAUAAAAGAAGAAUAUGACAAACCAACAUACUAGUGAGUCACAUGAUUCUCUAGAGUCCUAGCUUGGUCAAUUCUAUAUCUCAAUACAUUAAAAAUAAUAAAUAUUACCGACUCAUUAUAGUCCAAAUUAAUUGGUUCACGUGAUCAUGGUCCCCAUAUGUAAUACCGACCUAAUUUUCCACAUUCUCUUUCUUCUUCUUUUUUUUUUCUUCUUCUUCUAGUAACAUUUUUGUAUUCUCAUCCCUUCCUUGUUUAUACCACAUAUAACAAAUAUCUCAUUGAUUUAAUCUAUUUCAAUUUUUUUAAAAGAUAUUUCCUAAAUAUAACCUACCCCAAUUAACAUUAGCUAAGAGUUCAAGUUAAAUAUUAAAAAAGAGGGGGAAAAUGCCUUAAAAUACACAAAGUUUGGACGAAUUCUGAUUUUACACACAACUUUUGAAAUUUGAAAAAAAAAUACAACAAAUUUUAAUUUUUAUUUAUUUUUUAGUAAAUUUAAAAAUACCCUAAAAUUAGAAACAUAAAAGUUGCUACUACAACCCAACACAGCAAGCUCAUAAAUAACUAGGGAUGGCAGUGGAUCUUGGAUGCGGUUCGCAAUUCAACAUGAAAAUAAAGCUUUCUCUCGCAAUCAAACUUAAUACAAAUAUUGUAGCAGUUUAAAAUUUAAUGUAUUUCAUUUCAAAUUUCAAAGGUUGUGAGCAUAUUAAAAUUUUAUUUUUAUUUUUUCAUGGAUUAAUGUUUGAUUGCGAGAGAAAACUUUAAUCAAUAUUUUGAAUAUAAAUUUAAAUAUAAAUAUAAAUUUAUAUUCGGUAAACAAAAUUCGGGAUUCGAUGCGAUACUAAACAAAUCAAACUUGAGCACACCAGUAUUCAAUUCGACUCGGUUCGAUUAUACCCCUAUGUAUUCCCAGAAAAUGAAACCUUUUACCAAAAAGUACAAAGAUGUAAAAUAAUACUGUGAAAAGCGCAUUUUCAACUCUCUAUAAUGCUUUAGACAUCGUAUGUCAUGCAACGAUUUUACGAUGCAAUAUUUUCAAGAAUUCUUGAAAUUCACUGUAUCCAGCUUGGAUCCAUAACAUUUUUCAGACCUUUUUAGUUAUUGUAUCAAGUAAAUAUGUUCAAACUGUUGGAAAUCUGCUAUGCUAUUCUGGAGAAAUCGUUCAGCAGAAUAGACGCCUACAAAGUGCUCGACAGAACGACUGAAAGAGUUAAAGAAAGGGCUGCAGAAAUCUUCACACCAACUGUUUGGGAAAAUGCCUUGAAUAGAAAAAGGACUGCAAAAGUGGAGAAGCUGAACCGUUGAGAAUACCCAUUUCUAAUACUUCAAUUCAAAUACACUAAUGAUCAAACAUCAUUAAUUUAUUCCAUGCAUGUUAAUUAGCUCUCCUAACAACGAAGAUUAGGUCCAGGAUUAACUCCGAAUUGGUUACAAUAACUCGUAUAAUAAUUAACACGAGCAGUCACGGCGGCCGGCCUCCCUCCAUUGCAUUCUCCGCCGUUAAUAGCCCUAAUCGUGGCCCCAAAACCCCGCCCCGAUGUAAUAGCCGUGUGCACGCUAUUCAUCCAGAACCACAGCGCGGCCUUGAAUGAGAUGGCGGGGUCCCGGGCCACGAUAUCGGGGUUGUUCAAUCCAUCAAAAUUUAGGGCUUGGCCCGCCGGGCCGUAGUUGUAGUUCCACGUCAGCUGUAGCGGGCCUCUGCCGUAGUAGCUCUGGCCCGGCGUGCACGGCCACUGUUUGUUGCUACUGCAAUAGACCGCCUUGUUUAUCUCUCGUGUGUAGCACAUGUCUGCAUGGGAAAGAAAAUUAUCAGAUCGUCUGAUGGGUCAAGAUUCGUCACAUAUAUUCAUUAAUAAUAUUAAUCUUUGGUUUAUGGUUGUGUUCGGAUAUAGACAUUGAAUUAAUUUAUGGAUUUUGACUCGUCAUACCGUCUGACAUGAUAUUAUUUCCCUAGUUCAAUAUUGAUUUCAACUGAUCAUAUAAGUUGUGAGACAGAAAAUCUCAUCGAAUUAUCAAUAUUUUGUAUGAAGCAUUGUACAAUAGCUUCUAAAACCUAAUUAAAUAGUACAAAAAUUGUCUUUCGAAAUCUCAAACUCAAUACAUGUGUGCAAGAUGAUUAAUGCCCAAUGCCUGAAGUGCUGAAUUUGAUUCCGCCGUGGCACGAUUUUUAAAAAAUAGAAAAAGAUAGCUCCUAAGUGAGAGUAACAAAGUUAACAAUUAAAAAGAAAUGUGAUUAUAUAUAAAAUUAUAAUCUUUUAAAAAGUAAAAUAAAAAUAAAUAAAUAAGAAAACUUAGUCCAAUCUAAUGUGUGACAUGCGCGAAGAACGCCAUGACCUCACGCUCCGAUUCGUCGGUGGACACGAGUUUCGAGAAAAUUUAAUUAUAUCUUUGGUGAAUGCAAAAAGGGUUUAUAAUUUAGAAAAAAAUAGUGAGUGAAUUUAUGUGAGUCCAUUAGUGAUAAUGCGUGUAAAUAUAUGGUAAUUUUAAUUGUAAUAAUUAGUAACAAUAUGUUCGAAAAUAGAGUAGGAAGAUAUUUUAUGGAGGAAUCAAAAAAGAAAAUUAGGAAAAUAUUUCGUGGACUUACGCCCGGUCUCGUGCGUGACAUGAGCGAAGAACGCUGCGAUCUCACGCUUCGAGUCGUCGGCGGACCCCACCGUGCCGAAGUUGGGGUACAGCUGAAUCGCUUGUAGGAAGGCGGCGCGUGUGUAGAAUCCCUUCCCGGCGCAGCCCCGCCCCGCCUGAUUAGCAAUGCCGUUGAAGAAACUAUCUGUCACCACGCCGCCGACAUUGCCUCCGUUGUUUUGGCCGGAGACGUAUUUUCCGGUGGCUAGGAGGAGAGCGAGAAGGGCGUAGAUAGUGAGGGAAUGGUUCAUUUUGGAGAUAGCUAAGAGUAGUGAGAAAAUAUUGUGUUGGUGUUGAGAAAUAAUGUGGGGAUUUAUGGGUAUUUAAAGAGUGAAAUAAAUAUAUACUCCAUUAUUUUAUUUUAUCUUUAGAAGGAUAAUGGGAAGAGGAAGAUAUCUUGAAGCUAGGAAGAUUGGAAGUUUGUUACAAAUGGAUUAAUUAGUAUAUUAUUGACUUUUGGAAUGCCUUAUAGUAUAUGAUACUAUUUGAUUUUAUUGUGGUGGAAAUUUGUGUGGGAUUCUCCAAAGUGGAGUAGGUAAACUUGACUUACUAUUAAGAGUCAACUCAUAAUAAGAUAUUAUAGGUGAAUAUAUCGUGCUUGAUUCCAGUGUUUGCCAUUGAAUCGAAGAGCUCUCUGGCUCUAAUCAUCUCACCCUGCGAGCAAUAUCCAUCUAUCAAUAUGUUGCACGAGACAACAUCAGGCGAGACGCCCUUCUCCACCAUCUCGGACAACAAAAGCCGAGCUUCAUCACCCAUCCCACGCUUGGACAGCUCAUCCAAUAAUAUAUUAUAAGUAUACAAGUCGGGACAAAUAUUAUGUUGCAUCAUAGUUUCCAACAUCUUCUCGGCCGCUUCCUUCUUUCCUACUUUACAAUAUGCAUGAAUCAAUGUGUUGAAAGUGAAAACAUCAGGAUAAACAUUUUCUUGCGUCAUAAUUUCCAACAUUCUCUCAGCCGCUUCCAUCUUUCCUUCUUUACAAUAUGCAUCAAUCAAUGUGUUGAAAGUGAUGACAUUGGGUGAAACUUUUUGUUGCGCCAUACUUUCCAACAAAUUCCCAGCCUCUUUCAUUCUUCCUUCCUUACAGAAUCCAUCAAUUAGUGCAUUAUAAGCCUUAACAUCGAGACUCCACCCACUACUUUCUAAUCUAUGAAGCCAAUCAUGGGCUGCAAUGACCAGUCCAGCUUUGCACAACCCAUCUAUCACGUGCAGAAUCAUAAUAGCAUGAGGUUCACAAAGUUUUAAAUCCAGAACCUUUUCAAACAAAUUCACGGCUUCAGCCUCCUUACCAACUAAGAAAAACCCAUUAAUGAGAGUGGCGAUAGUCACGGCAUUUGGUUCGUAACCAAUCUUGAAAAAGAAUCCCGUUAUAGAAAAACCAGAGUAUAUAUCUUUCAAGCGACAACAACAGUUAACAGAAAUACUCAUGGUGUAAUCAUUAACCCGGACACCCAUCCUAAGCAUUUCACCAAACAUAUAAAGGGCAAAAGAAUACUGCUCAAUCUUUGCAGUAACACUCAAAAGAUUGUUGUACAUUCGAACAGAAGGCUCCCGCCGCAUACUCUUCAUUUUUCGAAA
RNAcentral lists this long non-coding RNA (39939 nucleotides) under Salvia miltiorrhiza (redroot sage). RNAcentral describes it as "long non-coding RNA (SMIL_LNC006995)". The record is from RNAcentral. Lineage: Eukaryota; Viridiplantae; Streptophyta; Magnoliopsida; Lamiales; Lamiaceae.